Molecule: unclassified non-coding RNA, 205 nt
Filed under: uncultured Hypocreales
Lineage: Eukaryota; Fungi; Ascomycota; Sordariomycetes; Hypocreales
Description: sequence contains ITS1
Source: RNAcentral
GAGGGUCGCGAGACCUCCCUAAUACCUUCAACCAACCCGCGUACCUACCCGAGGGGGCCCUAGCGGCCACAAACAUGAUGCCUCGGUCGGCGGCCCCAGGGGGGGCCUCUGCCUGCGCGCCUUCCGGGGUGCGUGGGUGCCGGCCGGCGGCCAAAAACAAAACCUGAACGUUAUAAUGACAAUUCUUUACAAACCAAAACCAUUA